Long non-coding RNA from Pseudopodoces humilis (Tibetan ground-tit), 2356 nucleotides. RefSeq lists it as uncharacterized. Lineage: Eukaryota; Metazoa; Chordata; Aves; Passeriformes; Paridae. The record is from RefSeq and is a predicted model, not a curated record.
UAUAACUCUCUAGCCAGCUGCAUUUGCAGAAUGAACCUUGCUUCAGGAUGCAGAGUUGCCACUUCCAUCCUUACCAGAGGCUUCCUUUGCUUUUUAGAAGUGAGGCCAGAAGGCUGCCUGCAUCAUUAGGAUCAACCCCAACUUUCCUCAGCUGUAACCAGGAAAUAUGCAGCUGAAGUAACAUCAGAGCUUAUCCAGUUUCACCAGCCUGAUAUUUCUUAUUGACAAAGUACAUCUUUGCAGAGCCAUCUUCAAAUAGUCUACAAAACUAUGUAGCCUUUAGAUACAUAUUUUAUCACAGAAUUUGAAAAGCCAUUACCUUCAACAAUUCUAGAAGCAGGAAGUCCAGAAAUGCAUUUUCAAAACAAGUCUCUUAUUCUGUGGUAAGCUCUGACAGCUCUCUGAAGAUGACAAAGAAUCUGAUCACCUCAAAAGUGAGAAUUUGUGAUCAACCAGAACUCCCUCAUCACUUACCAGAAGCCUGUGCAGCUGAAGGAGAGUUCAGCCCUGUAGGAGGGGAAAAAAAGGCAGUCAAAAGCUUCAAGGAAACUGAAAGAACAAGAUCAACUUGCCCUGUUAUUCUCCUUCCUAUAUCUUCAUGGCCAUUUUUCAGGAAUAUUUUCAGUUUUGUUCUGUUAGUGUUGCAUGUUGUGAGAGGAAGCAAGCAUUUGGAUCACACAUGGAAAUAGUCUGUCACAUGAAAGAGCACCCCACUUGAGACCUUGGACCCUUUCAAAAGGCCAUCUGUCCUUUAAUGUGAGAAAACUGCAAGUCUGCAGCAGGAAAAUAAAUACAUUCCCAAGAAUGAAUCAAACAAAGUGACCUAGGAAAACACAGGUUUUAAAUGGUCAGAAUGUGCCCUUGUCACUUCCCAUCUAUUUCUGCUCUUUGAGUCCUCAAAAGCCUCAUUGCCUGUCAUUCUAACCCUUCCAGCUCUGAAAAAAGAGCAGUGGCAAGAAAGACUUUGGAAUGUAACUACAGAGACAGAGGACAUCAAUUAAAUAAUUAUCUGUGAAUUAUUUUCUCAUCUGCAGCCCAAAACAAUCUGUUCCUGCUGAUAGUCCUGAUGCUAUCACAUCUGUUAAUCCAAGAAUGACUUCUUUGACAUCUAUAUAUCAGUGUCAUUUAUUAAUGAUGGAUUCUAUUAUGCUUCCCAUACAGACCCUAAUUUAUCAUUUAUCUCUGAAACCAAGGACAUAAUUAGAACAGAAGCUGAACUAAUUUGGUAGAAUACUAGGGGUUGGGCCUAUAAGCAGUGAAAAUCUUAUGGUACUGAUAAAAUGAAAUAUUGAGCAGGUAUUUCGUAGGCCUCAGUAAAGACUAGAAAAAGUAUAAUUUCUAUUCUAAGUUAGUUAUCUAAUUUUCAAUAUAAUAUUUUUUAUAUAAUUUCAUGCAUGUCAUUUGAGUAAAAAUGUAUUCAAUAAAACUAAAAUUUUUAGGAAAAGGUUGCCACAGAUUUAGUCAAAAAGAGACUUCCCAUGGAAAACAUUGUCACCAAGCUUUUGUUUAAAAUCUUCCUUCAAGAAUUCAUUUCACUAAGGGCAAAUGCUAUCAGGAUAAAAUACAUUGAUUUAUGAAAUCUUUUUGGAGUUUCAAAGGUUCCCAGGAUUCCAUAAUCUUGCAGUUUAGUUCUCUCUACUUUCAGAUUUCAGUUGAGCUGAAAAUGAUGAAUCUCAGUUCUGCAUGCAGUGAGAUUUAUUUUCUUCACAGAAAUGUUGACAGAAUUACAAGAAAAUCUUGGGGCCAAAAUUUUCCAGCUGUAUGGCAACAUUUGUGCAUAGCACAUCCAUAAUUUUGUAUUUAUUUGGGCCACAAAGUUUAAUGAACCUGUGCAGAUUUGAGAAAAUCAAACAUGGCUUCUAUUAAGUUGAAGGGUUUGCUUAAAUAUAUAAACAAAGACAUAUUCAACAUUAUAUUGCCAAUAUACAUUAUGCUAAUAAAGAAUUACAAAUUCCAUUGUGAGGAUGUGGCUUACUGAAGGAAGGUGUCAUGAAAGGAAUUUCUUUGGCCAGUCAGAAUCUUGCACUAAUGGAUUUCUCCAAUAAGGCAGCAUAACAGGAUAUAAAAGAUAAGAAACUAAUUUUUUAUGUAUUUUUCUUCAGAGUAGUGUCCGUGUUAAUUAUAUCAUCCUGCUUCUUCCAUGUGGACUUAUAAUAAAUAAUGAACAGAUCCUUGCUUCUUUAUUUUAUCAAAGUUAUUACUUUCAAGACUGACUUUUGAUUAAGACAGUCUGAAAUUCCAUAUGUUUUAUAAUGACCAGUUGAAAGGAAGAAACCCCAAAUGUCAGAAAUAUUAUUUUGAUGCUCAGUGGAGCAGGUAACUACCAUGCUGAAGAAAUUCCCAUUGACUUUGACCA